AACGAACGCUGGCGGCAUGCCUAACACAUGCAAGUCGAACGAGACCUUCGGGUCUAGUGGCGCACGGGUGCGUAACGCGUGGGAACCUGCCCUUAGGUUCGGAAUAACUCCCCGAAAGGGGUGCUAAUACCGGAUAAUGUCUUCGGACCAAAGAUUUAUCGCCUUUGGAUGGGCCCGCGUUGGAUUAGCUAGUUGGUAGGGUAAAAGCCUACCAAGGCGACGAUCCAUAGCUGGUCUGAGAGGAUGAUCAGCCACACUGGGACUGAGACACGGCCCAGACUCCUACGGGAGGCAGCAGUGGGGAAUAUUGGACAAUGGGCGAAAGCCUGAUCCAGCAAUGCCGCGUGAGUGAUGAAGGCCUUAGGGUUGUAAAGCUCUUUUACCCGGGAUGAUAAUGACAGAACCGGGAGAAUAAGCUCCGGCAAACUCCGU
RNAcentral lists this ribosomal RNA (432 nucleotides) under uncultured bacterium. Its description in RNAcentral is "partial 16S ribosomal RNA". It matches the Rfam family "Bacterial small subunit ribosomal RNA", at positions 29 to 506 of the family's 1533-position model. The record is from RNAcentral.